Molecule: ribosomal RNA, 611 nt
Filed under: Ficophagus sp. 6 NK-2021
Lineage: Eukaryota; Metazoa; Nematoda; Chromadorea; Rhabditida; Aphelenchoididae
Description: bacterial SSU rRNA
Rfam family: Eukaryotic small subunit ribosomal RNA
Source: RNAcentral
UAAAGGAUGCCAACUAUCAUUCCGCCAGUGGUCUGGAGUCAUUGCGCGGGCGGAUCGACGAAAACGAAAGUUUUUCGGUUCCGGGGGAAGUAUGGUUGCAAAGCUGAAACUUAAGGGAAUUGACGGAAGGGCACCACCAGGAGUGGAGCUUGCGGCUUAAUUUGACUCACCACGGAAAACUCUCACCCGGCCAGUACAUUAUAAGGAUUGCCAGAUUGAAAGUUCUUCCAUGAUUUGAUGAAUGGUGGUCCAUGCCCGUUCUUAGUUGGUGGCGUGAGUCUUCUGUUUAAUUGCGAUAACGACCGAGACUCCGACUGCUAAAUACCUGCGGAAUUGUUUGUUCGCGUGGGUUCUUAGCUGGAUUGGAGACUCCAAGUCUAAGGAAAUGGACCAAUACCAGGUCUGUGAUGCCCUUAGAUGUUCGGGGCGGCACGCGUGCUACAAUGAUGGUAACAGCGUGAUUGUCCUCGCCCGAGAGGGUGUGGCAACCAGUUGAGAUAUUAUUAUGGCUGGAAUUGAGUGUUGAAAUUUUCCUUCAUGAACGAGGAAUUCCAAGUAAAUGCGAGUCAUCAACUUGCAUUGAUUACGUCCCUGCCCUUUGUACACACCGC